This 354-nucleotide ribosomal RNA is filed under the name Triticum aestivum (bread wheat). RNAcentral's name for it is "partial small subunit ribosomal RNA". The record is from RNAcentral. Lineage: Eukaryota; Viridiplantae; Streptophyta; Magnoliopsida; Poales; Poaceae.
AUGGCGCUUAAGCUCUUGGCGGAAGCGAGCCCGCAGGAGUUGCUCGUAGCUCUUGCGGAGCUCCAGAACCACGUGCUCGGCUACGUCAAGUCCAUGUCGCUCAAGUGCGCCGUGGACCUCGGCAUCACCGACGCCAUCCACCGCCGCGGCAGCACCGCCACCCUGGCCGACAUCGCGGCCGACACCAAGGAGAUGGCGAGCAAGGACGCCGGGUUCAACCGCGUCCUGAACGACGCCAUGACCGCGGACAGCGAGCUCUUCCUCGAGGUCACCCUUCUGGAUAAGGGCCGCAUCUUCCGCGGCCUGAGCUCGCUCGUGGACGUCGGCGGCGGCAACGGCGCGGGCAAGGAGUGA